RNAcentral lists this ribosomal RNA (460 nucleotides) under uncultured bacterium. RNAcentral describes it as "partial 16S ribosomal RNA". It matches the Rfam family "Bacterial small subunit ribosomal RNA", at positions 338 to 795 of the family's 1533-position model. The record is from RNAcentral.
CCUACGGGAGGCAGCAGUGAGGAAUAUUGGUCAAUGGACGAGAGUCUGAACCAGCCAAGUAGCGUGAAGGAUGACUGCCCUAUGGGUUGUAAACUUCUUUUAUAUGGGAAUAAAACGUUCCACGUGUGGGAUUUUGUAUGUACCAUAUGAAUAAGGAUCGGCUAACUCCGUGCCAGCAGCCGCGGUAAUACGGAGGAUCCGAGCGUUAUCCGGAUUUAUUGGGAUUAAAGGGAGCGUAGGUGGAUUGUUAAGUCAGUUGUGAAAGUUUGCGGCUCAACCGUAAAAUUGCAGUUGAAACUGGCAGUCUUGAGUACAGUAGAGGUGGGCGGAAUGCGUGGUGUAGCGGUGAAAUGCUUAGAUAUCACGAAGAACUCCGAUUGCGAAGGCAGUUCACUGGACUGCAACUGACACUGAGGCUCGAAAGUGUGGGUAUCAAACAGGAUUAGAUACCCGGGUAGUC